AGACCCGAAACCCGGUGAUCUAGCCAUGGGCAGGUUGAAGGUUGGGUAACACUAACUGGAGGACCGAACCGACUAAUGUUGAAAAAUUAGCGGAUGACCUGUGGCUGGGGGUGAAAGGCCAAUCAAACCGGGAGAUAGCUGGUUCUCCCCGAAAGCUAUUUAGGUAGCGCCUCGUGAACUCAUCUCCGGGGGUAGAGCACUGUUUCGGCUAGGGGGCCAUCCCGGCUUACCAACCCGAUGCAAACUGCGAAUACCGGAGAAUGUUAUCACGGGAGACACACGGCGGGUGCUAACGUCCGUCGUGAAGAGGGAAACAACCCAGACCGCCAGCUAAGGUCCCAAAGUCAUGGUUAAGUGGGAAACGAUGUGGGAAGGCCCAGACAGCCAGGAUGUUGGCUUAGAAGCAGCCAUCAUUUAAAGAAAGCGUAAUAGCUCACUGGUCGAGUCGGCCUGCGCGGAAGAUGUAACGGGGCUAAACCAUGCACCGAAGCUGCGGCAGCGAACGUAUCACUUAAAGCGAUUCAGCGGGUUACGAUUGACGGAGCGAAGCGACGUCAAAGCGUAUACAAAGUCGAGUCGGUUUAAGGAUACGUUCGUUGGGUAGGGGAGCGUUCUGUAAGCCUGUGAAGGUGGCCUGUGAGGGUUGCUGGAGGUAUCAGAAGUGCGAAUGCUGACAUAAGUAACGAUAAAGCGGGUGAAAAGCCCGCUCGCCGGAAGACCAAGGGUUCCUGUCCAACGUUAAUCGGGGCAGGGUGAGUCGACCCCUAAGGCGAGGCCGAAAGGCGUAGUCGAUGGGAAACGGGUUAAUAUUCCCGUACUUGGUGUUACUGCGAAGGGGGGACGGAGAAGGCUAUGUUGGCCGGGCGACGGUUGUCCCGGUUUAAGCGUGUAGGUGUGUGUUCCAGGUAAAUCCGGUUCACUUUAACACUGAGGCGUGACGACGAGGCACUACGGUGCUGAAGCAACAAAUGCCCUGCUUCCAGGAAAAGCCUCUAAGCAUCAGGUAACAUCAAAUCGUACCCCAAACCGACACAGGUGGUCAGGUAGAGAAUACCAAGGCGCUUGAGAGAACUCGGGUGAAGGAACUAGGCAAAAUGGUGCCGUAACUUCGGGAGAAGGCACGCUGACACGUAGGUGAAGUGAUUUACUCAUGGAGCUGAAGUCAGUCGAAGAUACCAGCUGGCUGCAACUGUUUAUUAAAAACACAGCACUGUGCAAACACGAAAGUGGACGUAUACGGUGUGACGCCUGCCCGGUGCCGGAAGGUUAAUUGAUGGGGUCAGCGCAAGCGAAGCUCCUGAUCGAAGCCCCGGUAAACGGCGGCCGUAACUAUAACGGUCCUAAGGUAGCGAAAUUCCUUGUCGGGUAAGUUCCGACCUGCACGAAUGGCGUAAUGAUGGCCAGGCUGUCUCCACCCGAGACUCAGUGAAAUUGAACUCGCUGUGAAGAUGCAGUGUACCCGCGGCAAGACGGAAAGACCCCGUGAACCUUUACUAUAGCUUGACACUGAACAUUGAGCCUUGAUGUGUAGGAUAGGUGGGAGGCUUUGAAGUGUGGACGCCAGUCUGCAUGGAGCCGACCUUGAAAUACCACCCUUUAAUGUUUGAUGUUCUAACGUGGACCCGUAAUCCGGGUUGCGGACAGUGUCUGGUGGGUAGUUUGACUGGGGCGGUCUCCUCCUAAAGAGUAACGGAGGAGCACGAAGGUUGGCUAAUCCUGGUCGGACAUCAGGAGGUUAGUGCAAUGGCAUAAGCCAGCUUGACUGCGAGCGUGACGGCGCGAGCAGGUGCGAAAGCAGGUCAUAGUGAUCCGGUGGUUCUGAAUGGAAGGGCCAUCGCUCAACGGAUAAAAGGUACUCCGGGGAUAACAGGCUGAUACCGCCCAAGAGUUCAUAUCGACGGCGGUGUUUGGCACCUCGAUGUCGGCUCAUCACAUCCUGGGGCUGAAGUAGGUCCCAAGGGUAUGGCUGUUCGCCAUUUAAAGUGGUACGCGAGCUGGGUUUAGAACGUCGUGAGACAGUUCGGUCCCUAUCUGCCGUGGGCGCUGGAGAACUGAGGGGGGCUGCUCCUAGUACGAGAGGACCGGAGUGGACGCAUCACUGGUGUUCGGGUUGUCAUGCCAAUGGCACUGCCCGGUAGCUAAAUGCGGAAGAGAUAAGUGCUGAAAGCAUCUAAGCACGAAACUUGCCCCGAGAUGAGUUCUCCCUGAGACUUAGAGUCUCCUGAAGGAACGUUGAAGACGACGACGUUGAUAGGCCGGGUGUGUAAGCGCAGCGAUGCGUUGAGCUAACCGGUACUAAUGAACCGUGAGG
This 2311-nucleotide ribosomal RNA is filed under the name Salmonella enterica subsp. enterica serovar Kentucky. RNAcentral's name for it is "partial 23S ribosomal RNA". It matches the Rfam family "Bacterial large subunit ribosomal RNA", at positions 711 to 2915 of the family's 2925-position model. The record is from RNAcentral. Lineage: Bacteria; Pseudomonadati; Pseudomonadota; Gammaproteobacteria; Enterobacterales; Enterobacteriaceae.